CGAUCAUGGACGCUGUAUUCUCGGAAUU
Molecule: small RNA, 28 nt
Filed under: Bombyx mori (domestic silkworm)
Lineage: Eukaryota; Metazoa; Arthropoda; Insecta; Lepidoptera; Bombycidae
Description: ovarian small RNA-14261
Source: RNAcentral